Molecule: ribosomal RNA, 443 nt
Filed under: uncultured bacterium
Lineage: Bacteria
Description: partial 16S ribosomal RNA
Rfam family: Bacterial small subunit ribosomal RNA
Source: RNAcentral
CCUACGGGAGGCAGCAGUGGGGAAUCUUGGGCAAUGGGCGCAAGCCUGACCCAGCAACGCCGCGUGAAGGAAGAAGGCUUUCGGGUUGUAAACUUCUUUUCUCAGGGACGAAGAAAGUGACGGUACCUGAGGAAUAAGCCACGGCUAACUACGUGCCAGCCGCCGCGGUAAUACGUAGGUGGCAAGCGUUAUCCGGAUGUACUGGGUGUAAAGGGCGUGUAGGCGGGAAAGCAAGUCAGAUGUGAAAACCAUGGGCUCAAUCUGUGGCCUGCAUUUGACACUGUUUUUCUUGAGUACUGGAGAGGCAGACGGAAGUCCUAGUGUAGCGGUGAAAUGCGUAGAGAUUAGGAGGAACACCAGUGGCGAAGGCGGUCUGCUGGACAGCAACUGACGCUGAGGCGCGAAAGCGUGGGGAGCAAACAGGAUUAGAUACCCGAGUAGUC